Molecule: ribosomal RNA, 647 nt
Filed under: Microbacterium sp.
Lineage: Bacteria; Bacillati; Actinomycetota; Actinomycetes; Micrococcales; Microbacteriaceae
Description: partial 23S ribosomal RNA
Rfam family: Bacterial large subunit ribosomal RNA
Source: RNAcentral
UUUCAAGUCUUUAAGAGCAAACGGUGAAUGCCUUGGCAUCUGGAGCCGAAGAAGGACGUAGCAAUCUGCGAUAAGCCUCGGGGAGUGGAUAAGCACACUUUGAUCCGAGGGUGUCCGAAUGGGGAAACCCCGCUGGGCGGCAUGCCGACCCAGUGACUCCCGCCUGAAUAUAUAGGGCGGGUAGAGGGAACGUGGGGAAGUGAAACAUCUCAGUACCCACAGGAAGAGAAAGCAACCGCGAUUCCGUUAGUAGUGGCGAGCGAAACCGGAACAGGCUAAACCGAGUACGUGUGAUAUCCGGCAGGAGUUGCGUAUUCGGGGUUGUGGGACUUUUCAGGCUGCUCUGCCGAGCAGCCGGCGUUACAAGAAGGUAUAGACGAAUGGCAUUGAAAGGCCAGUCAUAGAGGGUGUGAACCCCGUAGUCGAAAUGCCUCCCUUGGCGCGAAGAGUAUCCCAAGUAGCACGGGGCCCGAGAAAUCCCGUGUGAAUCUGUCAGGACCACCUGAUAAGCCUAAAUACUCCCAGAUGACCGAUAGCGGACAAGUACCGUGAGGGAAAGGUGAAAAGUACCCCGGGAGGGGAGUGAAAUAGUACCUGAAACCGUUUGCUUACAAACCGUUGGAGCCUCCUUAGCAGGGGUGACAGCG